Molecule: long non-coding RNA, 838 nt
Organism: Haliotis rubra (blacklip abalone)
Lineage: Eukaryota; Metazoa; Mollusca; Gastropoda; Lepetellida; Haliotidae
Exons: 3
Source: RefSeq, a predicted model, not a curated record
GGUACUAUGUAGUUGAGUGUCAGUUUAUGUUUGUAUAGGUAUAUGUUCGUGGCAUUACUUGUUCUGUAUGAGCAGUAGUUACCUACACUGCCUUAAAUUUCAAAAGGCAAUUAGUUUACAACGAUCCGGAUCCUUUUGAUUAAUCUAUAUCGGCAUUUCUCUGUUUCAACACUGUACUCGUAAUUCGUACGCUUCACCAACAACAAAUUCAACAAGCAUGUACUAUCUCUUGAAAUCCCGUUUAUUCAGUAUCUAGCGAAACCUGUUUCCAGUUCAUGACAUAAGUUCACACUUCAACAAUAUUUCGAAGAAGGUUAUCGAAGUAUUGAAAUAUGUCAAUGUCACCUCCUCCGGGGUAGAUCUUCAGAGUACCUUCAAAGACGAUGUAUGGACGGAUGGUUCCACUAUCGUAACGACGCACACGCAUGCUACUGCCGAAAUCACUUCGCUUUUGCGGAUUAUGAAGUUUGAAGCGUGGUGUUCUGUGGCAGUGCUCGCCUUAGCUUGUGUCCUGCAAACCACUGAAGCAGUGUCCACUGUGGAAACCAUGUCACCAUGCCCUGGAGAGAAGCCCUUUAAACCCAGGUCAGCCAUUGCUCUUGAGAAGUUCGAGAGCAAGAAGAAGUCCAAAGUCAGGACAUCAGCGUCCGUAUGAACCCCGAAGGAGAAUCUUUAACGGGGCAGCAUACAUAUAAACGUUCGACGGACGGAAGGAAAUGACAGGCUUCAAUAUCAGACUAAGAGGACGUGUCGUUUUUUCCGUUGAGUGAACUAUCAAACCAGUGAGACAUAAUUCAAAAGAUCAUUAAAAUGGACAUUAAAAUUCAUUUUUAGAGUG